UGCCUACUCGGACAUCCAAUGUUGUAGUGUUUCCCAUGCAUGCACAGAAUGAUCACUGCAGCCCCAGCCACUCAACAAGGACAGUAGAGAGUAGUGACAGCCACAAGACAGGUGGCCUGCUCGGCAGCCUCCGGCUCCCUCUUUGGUUGGCACUGGAAGAGGAAUAAGAUUGAAACCACCUCUGUGAUUCUUCAAGGCAAGCUGGAGAAGAGCGCUCAAGAGGAGAUUCUCUUGGCAAGGAGAUCAGCUGAGCACCCGAGUGACUAAUUAGAGAGGCACAGGCAGAAGGGAGGUGGGGUUUAUACAGAGGCUCCUUGGGACCCUCCGGAUGGAAACCUGGAGGCCACAAUGUAAUUUGUCUUGCAGGAGUCUUGCAGAUUCAGGCAGUUGGGCCUCUCUCGUUCUUCAUAGGAGCACACAGGGACGAUGGUCUGUCGCCGCCUCUCAGU
Grammomys surdaster is the source of this 449-nucleotide long non-coding RNA. RefSeq lists it as uncharacterized. Lineage: Eukaryota; Metazoa; Chordata; Mammalia; Rodentia; Muridae. The record is from RefSeq and is a predicted model, not a curated record. The transcript has 3 exons.